AUGGAAAUAGAGCGUUGGCGUUUUGCGAGUGGGAUAGGGUUCAAGAGAAUACGUUGUUUCAGUUUUUCUUGCAGCGCCGCUACUUCCACCGUCUUCGUCCGUUUUUGUUCUGAUCUCCUUCACGAUCCACUCCGCCCUCAAAGCUUUGAUCUCCUUCAUAAUUCCGCUAAUCACCUUCGAUGCGGCAUCAUCACCUCAACAUCUCCACGAUGUCAUUUUCCAUCAACAUCGUCAUUCAACUUUGAUGCGGCGGUAUCAAGCUCGACUUCACCUUCCACUUUGAAGUUUCAAUUCAAGAGCUCGCUUCGGUUGUUGAGGAAGUAUGCUUGUGGUGUAAAGAUGAUGAUGAUAGAUAUUGAGGAUUUUGAUGCGAUUUGCGGAAGAUCAAGGUUGAAGAGAACCCUGAGGAUUGAAGACGAAGAUGCUUGA
Molecule: non-coding RNA, 429 nt
Organism: Vicia faba (fava bean)
Lineage: Eukaryota; Viridiplantae; Streptophyta; Magnoliopsida; Fabales; Fabaceae
Source: the annotation of a GenBank genome assembly